GACGAACGCUGGCGGCGUGCUUAACACAUGCAAGUCGAACGGAAAGGCCCUGCUUUUGUGGGGUGCUCGAGUGGCGAACGGGUGAGUAACACGUGAGUAACCUGCCCUUGACUUUGGGAUAACUUCAGGAAACUGGGGCUAAUACCGGAUAGGAGCUCCUGCUGCAUGGUGGGGGUUGGAAAGUUUCGGCGGUUGGGGAUGGACUCGCGGCUUAUCAGCUUGUUGGUGGGGUAGUGGCUUACCAAGGCUUUGACGGGUAGCCGGCCUGAGAGGGUGACCGGCCACAUUGGGACUGAGAUACUGCCCAGACUCCUACGGGAGGCAGCAGUGGGGAAUAGUGCACAAUGGGCGGAAGCCUGAUGCAGCAACGCCGCGUGCGGGAUGACGGCCUUCGGGUUGUAAACCGCUUUCGCCUGUGACGAAGCGUGAGUGACGGUAAUGGGUAAAGAAGCACCGGCUAACUACGUG
Molecule: ribosomal RNA, 468 nt
Filed under: uncultured bacterium
Lineage: Bacteria
Description: partial 16S ribosomal RNA
Rfam family: Bacterial small subunit ribosomal RNA
Source: RNAcentral